This 426-nucleotide ribosomal RNA is filed under the name uncultured bacterium. Its description in RNAcentral is "bacterial SSU rRNA". It matches the Rfam family "Bacterial small subunit ribosomal RNA", at positions 917 to 1344 of the family's 1533-position model. The record is from RNAcentral.
GGGCCCGCACAAGCGGUGGAGCAUGUGGUUUAAUUCGAAGCAACGCGAAGAACCUUACCUACUCUUGACAUCCAGUGAACUUGGUAGAGAUACCUUGGUGCCUUCGGGAACACUGAGACAGGUGCUGCAUGGCUGUCGUCAGCUCGUGUUGUGAAAUGUUGGGUUAAGUCCCGUAACGAGCGCAACCCUUGUCCUUAGUUACCAUCAUUCAGUUGGGGACUCUAAGGAGACUGCCGGUGACAAACCGGAGGAAGGCGGGGACGACGUCAAGUCAUCAUGGCCCUUACGAGUAGGGCUACACACGUGCUACAAUGGCCAGUACAAAGGGUUGCCAAGUCGCAAGGCGGAGCUAAUCUCAUAAAGCUGGUCGUAGUCCGGAUUGGAGUCUGCAACUCGACUCCAUGAAGUCGGAAUCGCUAGUAAUCG